RNAcentral lists this long non-coding RNA (462 nucleotides) under Olea europaea subsp. europaea. Lineage: Eukaryota; Viridiplantae; Streptophyta; Magnoliopsida; Lamiales; Oleaceae. The record is from RNAcentral.
CUUGUGGGUUGACAAUCCACUCUUAUUAUAGGAACGAACAGAAAUCUUCCACAGCAACUGUCAAGAGUGGAGGCUUGUAUAUAAAUAAAGUGAGAAACUGAGGGUUCUUUAGUAUCCCCUCUAGAACCUCUGAUGUAGUAUCAUUAAAUAAUAAAACCCAGGAAAAAGAACCUGUACAAAAUCAUGCUUUUUCUCUCUGUAUCAUUUUGAUGAGUGUACAACCCGCAUAAUAACUAUCACAAAAUGAAACCUAUCUGGAUUCUAUUUACAGAAUAAAUUACCAAAAUCGAUUUUAAGCUUAGGUAGAAAGAAAAUAAUAAGCACUGAAGUCAAGUAUCAAAUUCUUACAUUAUUGAAUUUUUGCAUUCUUAAAUCUGUACAGGAGAGACUCUAUUGAUUUUUGUAGCCUCGAGCUCUCAACUUGCCUGACAGCCUCAGAUGCCUGGUGUAAACUUUUGAUUC